UACGUAGGGUGCGAGCGUUAAUCGGAAUUACUGGGCGUAAAGUGUGCGCAGGCGGCGCCGCAAGUCGAGUGUGAAAGCCCCGGGCUUAACUUGGGAAUUGCGCUCGAAACUAUGGUGCUGGAGUGUGGCAGAGGAAGGUGGAAUUCCACGUGUAGCGGUGAAAUGCGUAGAGAUGUGGGGGAACACCGAUGGCGAAGGCAGCCUUCUGGGCCAACACUGACGCUCAUGCACGAAAGCGUGGGGAGCAAACAGG
This 253-nucleotide ribosomal RNA is filed under the name uncultured bacterium. Its description in RNAcentral is "partial 16S ribosomal RNA". It matches the Rfam family "Bacterial small subunit ribosomal RNA", at positions 524 to 776 of the family's 1533-position model. The record is from RNAcentral.